Molecule: ribosomal RNA, 397 nt
Filed under: uncultured bacterium
Lineage: Bacteria
Description: bacterial SSU rRNA
Rfam family: Bacterial small subunit ribosomal RNA
Source: RNAcentral
CUGGGCUCGAAAUGCAGUGGACCGGGGUGGAAACAUCCCUUCCCGCAAGGGCUGCUGUAUAGGUGCUGCAUGGCUGUCGUCAGCUCGUGUCGUGAGAUGUUGGGUUAAGUCCCGCAACGAGCACAACCCUUGUCCUUAGUUGCCAUCAUUCAGUUGGGCACUCUAAGGAGACCGCCGGUGACAAACCGGAGGAAGGUGGGGAUGACGUCAAGUCAUCAUGGCCUUUAUGACCAGGGCUACACACGUGCUACAAUGGUAGAUACAGAGGGCAGCGAGACCGCGAGGUCGAGCUAAUCUCCAAAAGCCAUCUCAGUUCGGAUUGCACUCUGCAACUCGAGUGCAUGAAGUUGGAAUCGCUAGUAAUCGCGGAUCAGCACGCCGCGGUGAAUACGUUCCC